AAAUACCCGCGUUAGGGAUUGCAGCAGAAAACCCACAGCCCCACGUAGGAGGCACAAGGACUUGUAGCGUAAAGCCCGCCCCUUG
RNAcentral lists this unclassified non-coding RNA (85 nucleotides) under Algibacter pectinivorans. RNAcentral's name for it is "Flavo-1 RNA". The record is from RNAcentral. Lineage: Bacteria; Pseudomonadati; Bacteroidota; Flavobacteriia; Flavobacteriales; Flavobacteriaceae.